GACGAACGCUGGCGGCGUGCCUAACACAUGCAAGUCGAGCGGAGACAGUGAGUAGCUUGCUACGAGCUGUUUUAGCGGCGGACGGGUGAGUAACGCGUGAGCAACCUUUCCCAGACAGGGGAAUAACACACCGAAAGGUGUACUAAUACCGCAUAAGACCACGGGAUCACAUGGUUCUGGGGUAAAAGAUUUAUCGGUUUGGGGUGGGCUCGCGUCCGAUUAGGUAGUUGGUGAGGUAACGGCCCACCAAGCCGACGAUCGGUAGCCGACCUGAGAGGGUGAUCGGCCACAUUGGGACUGAGACACGGCCCAAACUCCUACGGGAGGCAGCAGUGGGGAAUAUUGGGCAAUGGAGGAAACUCUGACCCAGCAACGCCGCGUGGAGGAAGAAGGUUUUCGGAUCGUAAACUCCUGUC
This 416-nucleotide ribosomal RNA is filed under the name uncultured bacterium. Its description in RNAcentral is "bacterial SSU rRNA". It matches the Rfam family "Bacterial small subunit ribosomal RNA", at positions 28 to 437 of the family's 1533-position model. The record is from RNAcentral.